This 253-nucleotide ribosomal RNA is filed under the name uncultured bacterium. RNAcentral describes it as "partial 16S ribosomal RNA". It matches the Rfam family "Bacterial small subunit ribosomal RNA", at positions 524 to 776 of the family's 1533-position model. The record is from RNAcentral.
UACGGAGGAUGCAAGCGUUAUCCGGAAUGAUUGGGCGUAAAGCGUCCGCAGGUGGCUAUGUAAGUCUGCUGUUAAAGAGCAAGGCUCAACCUUGUAAAGGCAGUGGAAACUACAUGGCUAGAGUGCGUUCGGGGCAGAGGGAAUUCCUGGUGUAGCGGUGAAAUGCGUAGAGAUCAGGAAGAACACCGGUGGCGAAAGCGGCAUCCUGGACCAACACUGACGCUGAUGAGCGAAAGCUAGGGGAGCAAACGGG